Molecule: ribosomal RNA, 472 nt
Filed under: uncultured Ehrlichia sp.
Lineage: Bacteria; Pseudomonadati; Pseudomonadota; Alphaproteobacteria; Rickettsiales; Anaplasmataceae
Description: partial 23S ribosomal RNA
Rfam family: Bacterial large subunit ribosomal RNA
Source: RNAcentral
UAUAAGCUGCGGGGAAUUGUCAGACGAAUUUUGAUCCGCAGAUUUCUGAAUGGGGAAACCCAAUCAAUUUAUUGAUUAUUGCAUAUUGAAUACAUAGAUAUGCAAGGCAAACCUGGUGAACUGAAAUAUCUCAGUAGCUAGAGGAAAGGAAAUCAAAAGAGACUCCGUUAGUAGUGACGAGCGAACACGGACCAGGCCAGUGGUUUAUAAUUAAAAAUUAGAAUACUUUGGAAAGAGUAGCCAUAGAUGGUGAUAGCCCAGUAUAAGUAAAAAAAUUAUAAAUCCUUGAGUAGGACGGGACACGUGAAAUCCUGUUUGAAGAUGGGGGGACCAUCCUCCAAGCCUAAGUACUCCUUAACGACCGAUAGUGGACAAGUACCGUGAGGGAAAGGUGAAAAGAACCCCGGGAGGGGAGUGAAAUAGACCCUGAAAUCGAAUGCUUACAACCAGUUGGAGCCUUAUACUUAUAUUU